UACCAGCACCCCGAGUGGUCGGGACGUUUAUUGGGCCUAAAGCAUCCGUAGCCGGUUCUACAAGUCUUCCGUUAAAUCCAACUGCUUAACAGGUGGGCUGCGGAAGAUACUAUAGAGCUAGGAGGCGGGAGAGGCAAGCGGUACUUUAUGGGUAGGGGUAAAAUCCGUUGAUCCAUAGAAGACCACCAGUGGCGAAGGCGGCUUGCCAGAACGCGCUCGACGGUGAGGGAUGAAAGCUGGGGGAGCAAACCGG
RNAcentral lists this ribosomal RNA (253 nucleotides) under uncultured bacterium. RNAcentral describes it as "partial 16S ribosomal RNA". It matches the Rfam family "Archaeal small subunit ribosomal RNA", at positions 474 to 727 of the family's 1478-position model. The record is from RNAcentral.